GGAACAAUUUUCAAGAUUAUAAUAAGAAGACCCUAAAAAAUGUAUCGUUAGAGCAUGCUUCCAAAUAUUCGAAAAUAUAUGGCUAUUCGGUCGAGAUAUAUUAGCUCAAAUUUGUUUUUACACUGCAUUUUUUAGUCAUGAAUUGUAACGUUUAAUUCAUUAUGUUUUUGUGUUUUGUUUUGACAAAAUCUUACAUGAAAACAAUACAACAUACAGUAUAUAAAACAAAGCUAACAUAUCGAUAGUUCUUAUACUGCUAUUGCUCUUCUUUUAAAUUCUAACUUCUCAGUCUUUCCUUUCUUGUUUUCUUUAGGUUUUUUAAGAAAAAAAAACUCUGAUGAACUUCAAGGAAAAAAACAUACACAUCAUGUCAGGUCUAUACUUUUGUACGCAAGACGCUCGAAACAUUCAAAAGCGUUCGUUAUAUGUCAUGUUGAAACAUUGUCUUUCAAAAUGUUGCAUAACUUUACUAUUAUUAAAUCGGGUAUCUACAAAUGUAUAAUUUUUUUUUUAUACUUAGAUAUCUUUAAUUAAUACAUUAUCCUUAAAAU
This 551-nucleotide long non-coding RNA is filed under the name Mytilus galloprovincialis (Mediterranean mussel). The record is from RNAcentral. Lineage: Eukaryota; Metazoa; Mollusca; Bivalvia; Mytilida; Mytilidae.